This 395-nucleotide RNase P RNA is filed under the name Sphingosinicella rhizophila. RNAcentral's name for it is "RNase P RNA component class A". It matches the Rfam family "Bacterial RNase P class A". From Rfam's summary of the family: Ribonuclease P (RNase P) is a ubiquitous endoribonuclease, found in archaea, bacteria and eukarya as well as chloroplasts and mitochondria. Its best characterised activity is the generation of mature 5'-ends of tRNAs by cleaving the 5'-leader elements of precursor-tRNAs. The record is from RNAcentral. Lineage: Bacteria; Pseudomonadati; Pseudomonadota; Alphaproteobacteria; Sphingomonadales; Sphingosinicellaceae.
CCAGAGGGUCGGGCGGCCGCGUUUCGCUUCGGCGGAACGAGGAAAGUCCGGGCUCCACGGAAAAGCGGUGCCGGGUAACGCCCGGCGGGGGCGACCCCAGGGACAGUGCAACAGAAAGCAGGUCGCGCCGGGCUUCGGCCCAAAAUCUUCGGAGGCGUGACAGUGAAAGGGUGCGGUAAGAGCGCACCGCGGCUCCGGCAACGGCAGCCGGCAUGGUAAACCCCACCGGGAGCAAGACCGAAUAGGGACGGCAUAUGGGGAAUUUCCGCCCCGGUCGUCCGGGUUGGUUGCUUGAGGGACGGAGCAAUCCGUCUCCUAGAGGAAUGGCCGCACAGGCGGAGCGACCGCAAGGCCGCCCUGCCGGACAGAACCCGGCUUAUAGACCCUCUGGCAUU